Molecule: ribosomal RNA, 439 nt
Filed under: uncultured bacterium
Lineage: Bacteria
Description: partial 16S ribosomal RNA
Rfam family: Bacterial small subunit ribosomal RNA
Source: RNAcentral
CUACGGGACGCAGCAGUGGGGAAUAUUGCACAAUGGGGGAAACCCUGAUGCAGCAACGCCGCGUGGAGGAUGACGCAUUUCGGUGUGUAAACUCCUUUUAUAUCCCAAGAUAAUGACGGUAGGAUAUGAAUAAGCACCGGCUAACUCCGUGCCAGCAGCCGCGGUAAUACGGAGGGUGCAAGCGUUACUCGGAAUCACUGGGCGUAAAGGGCGCGUAGGCGGGUUGUCAAGUCUUGAGUGAAAUCCAACGGCUCAACCGUUGAACUGCUUGAGAAACUGGCAGCCUAGAGUGAGGGAGAGGUAGAUGGAAUUGGUGGUGUAGGGGUAAAAUCCGUAGAGAUCACCAGGAAUACCCAUUGCGAAGGCGAUCUGCUGGAACUCUACUGACGCUGAGGCGCGAAAGCGUGGGGAGCAAACAGGGUUAGAUACCCCUGUAGUC